RNAcentral lists this ribosomal RNA (733 nucleotides) under Acinetobacter sp. Wr1H01. RNAcentral describes it as "bacterial SSU rRNA". It matches the Rfam family "Bacterial small subunit ribosomal RNA", at positions 33 to 761 of the family's 1533-position model. Lineage: Bacteria; Pseudomonadati; Pseudomonadota; Gammaproteobacteria; Moraxellales; Moraxellaceae. The record is from RNAcentral.
ACGCGGGCGUCAGGCUUACACAUGCAAGUCGAGCGGAGAGAGGUAGCUUGCUACUGAUCUUAGCGGCGGACGGGUGAGUAAUGCUUAGGAAUCUGCCUAUUAGUGGGGGACAACAUUUCGAAAGGAAUGCUAAUACCGCAUACGUCCUACGGGAGAAAGCAGGGGAUCUUCGGACCUUGCGCUAAUAGAUGAGCCUAAGUCGGAUUAGCUAGUUGGUGGGGUAAAGGCCUACCAAGGCGACGAUCUGUAGCGGGUCUGAGAGGAUGAUCCGCCACACUGGGACUGAGACACGGCCCAGACUCCUACGGGAGGCAGCAGUGGGGAAUAUUGGACAAUGGGCGCAAGCCUGAUCCAGCCAUGCCGCGUGUGUGAAGAAGGCCUUAUGGUUGUAAAGCACUUUAAGCGAGGAGGAGGCUACUUUAGUUAAUACCUAGAGAUAGUGGACGUUACUCGCAGAAUAAGCACCGGCUAACUCUGUGCCAGCAGCCGCGGUAAUACAGAGGGUGCAAGCGUUAAUCGGAUUUACUGGGCGUAAAGCGCGCGUAGGCGGCUAAUUAAGUCAAAUGUGAAAUCCCCGAGCUUAACUUGGGAAUUGCAUUCGAUACUGGUUAGCUAGAGUGUGGGAGAGGAUGGUAGAAUUCCAGGUGUAGCGGUGAAAUGCGUAGAGAUCUGGAGGAAUACCGAUGGCGAAGGCAGCCAUCUGGCCUAACACUGACGCUGAGUAGCGAUAGCA